Heterocephalus glaber (naked mole-rat) is the source of this 949-nucleotide non-coding RNA. The record is from RefSeq and is a predicted model, not a curated record. Lineage: Eukaryota; Metazoa; Chordata; Mammalia; Rodentia; Bathyergidae.
CAUGUAAAGGGAGAUCAGCACCCAAGUUAUUUCUCAAAGAUGCCAAUGAGUUUAUCAGAAAAAAGAUAAAAGGGUUUUUAAGAAAGUGCACAAAAGUAAGCCAAAAGGGGAAAAUAACAGAAGACAGAAGGCCAGUGCCAAAAAGUACCAGGAAGGUUAAAAACCACAUACAGAUAUAUACUUGACAGUGCUAGAAUAAAGACAAGCUCAGGACUACAUAUGAGGAAUUUGGCUAGAGCGCAGGACUUGAGAGUUUUGGAAGAUAUGUUUGUAUCGGGCCCAUAGGUUGGAGUGAAAUUUCUCAUGAUGGUGGGGCAUAUGUUCCCUGUUCAUGAAAGACCUCCUAGCUUUGUAACAUCAAGUCUUUAUCCCACAAGAAAAAAGUAGUUCUCAGGUUUUUCACAGGUUCCCAUUAUCCUCACUGGAUAAUAUUGAAAGAGCCAAUGGCUGAGCAAUAAAGUGGGCAUGUUCACCUGUUCUAAGUAAAGUCACCUUCCCAACGCAGGACCAAGGCUUGCAAGCAAAGGCAAAGUUCAGUCUCCACUAAUAUUAUCUACCUACAUUGAACAACAAAGGACACAUUGGGGAAUUUGUCAAGACCAAUUGCUGGUGUCUGUUCACUGCGUGCUUCUUCAACACCCUCUCUCCCCACUUCUCGGUCCUCACCUCACCCAGCUACAGAAAAUGCUAUCUUUUCAUCGUAACACUGCCACUUGUACACAUCUGCUACAGGCCAGACCUAGCGCCUUCUGACUUAGAUUCAUUGCCUCCAAUUCUGAUAACACUCAGAGCAGAUUACAGAUGAACAACCUGAUGUAAGCGCAGCAGUGGGAAGGCAGCACAGCUGACAGUCACACAGACCAAACAGGAAAGGGACAGCGUGCCUGUACAGGGCCGCUCCUCGUUCUGGAGAAACUGUGAGACCCUGCCGUAGAAAGAAGGUGCGGAG